This 121-nucleotide microRNA precursor is filed under the name Hordeum vulgare. Its description in RNAcentral is "microRNA MIR1122". It matches the Rfam family "MIR1120/MIR1122 microRNA precursor family". The record is from RNAcentral. Lineage: Eukaryota; Viridiplantae; Streptophyta; Magnoliopsida; Poales; Poaceae.
CAACUACUCCCUUCAUCUGGAAAUACUUGUCAUAAAAAUGGAUGUAUCUAGAUGUAUUAGUUCUAGAUACAUCCAUUUUUUUAUUUGUUUGACAAUUAAUUCCGGACGGAGGGAGUAUUUA